UACGGAGGGUGCGAGCGUUGUUCGGAAUUCCUGGGCGUAAAGCGCGUGUAGGUGGUCUGUCAUGUCAGGUGUGAAAGCCCUCGGCCUAACCGAGGAAGUGCGCCUGAAACUGCCAGACUUGAGUACGAGAGAGGAGGACGGAAUUCCCAGUGUAGAGGUGAAAUUCGUAGAUAUUGGGAGGAACACCGGUGGCGAAAGCGGUUCUCUGGAUCGAUACUGACACUAAGACGCGAAAGCGUGGGGAGCAAACAGG
RNAcentral lists this ribosomal RNA (253 nucleotides) under uncultured bacterium. RNAcentral describes it as "partial 16S ribosomal RNA". It matches the Rfam family "Bacterial small subunit ribosomal RNA", at positions 524 to 776 of the family's 1533-position model. The record is from RNAcentral.